This 469-nucleotide ribosomal RNA is filed under the name uncultured bacterium. Its description in RNAcentral is "partial 16S ribosomal RNA". It matches the Rfam family "Bacterial small subunit ribosomal RNA", at positions 28 to 507 of the family's 1533-position model. The record is from RNAcentral.
GAUGAACGCUGGCGACGUGCUUAACACAUGCAAGUCGAACGAUGAAGCUGGAGCUUGCUCUGGUGGAUUAGUGGCGAACGGGUGAGUAACACGUGAGCAACCUGCCCCUGACUCUGGGAUAACAUCCGGAAACGGCUGCUAAUACCGGAUAUGCACCAUGAACGCAUGUUCUGUGGUGGGAAAGAUUUUUCGGUUGGGGAUGGGCUCGCGGCCUAUCAGCUUGUUGGUGAGGUAAUGGCUCACCAAGGCGUCGACGGGUAGCCGGCCUGAGAGGGUGACCGGCCACACUGGGACUGAGACACGGCCCAGACUCCUACGGGAGGCAGCAGUGGGGAAUAUUGCACAAUGGGCGAAAGCCUGAUGCAGCAACGCCGCGUGAGGGAUGACGGCCUUCGGGUUGUAAACCUCUUUUAGCAGGGAAGAAGCGAGAGUGACGGUACCUGCAGAAAAAGCGCCGGCUAACUACGUG